RNAcentral lists this transfer RNA (88 nucleotides) under Candidatus Odinarchaeum yellowstonii. RNAcentral describes it as "tRNA-Ser". It matches the Rfam family "tRNA". From Rfam's summary of the family: Transfer RNA (tRNA) molecules are approximately 80 nucleotides in length. Their secondary structure includes four short double-helical elements and three loops (D, anti-codon, and T loops). The record is from RNAcentral. Lineage: Archaea; Promethearchaeati; Candidatus Odinarchaeota; Candidatus Odinarchaeia; Candidatus Odinarchaeales; Candidatus Odinarchaeaceae.
GCGGGGGUAGCCAAGCGGACUACGGCGCAAGCCUGGAGAGCUUGUGAUCCAUUGGAUCGCGCGGGUUCGAAUCCCGCCCCCCGCGCCA